GUAUGGUGGACAGCCUGUUGUUUACAAUGCUCAGCCUGGAUCUUCUCCCCAGGGUUACAUGCAUCCUUCUGGGCAACAGGUGAGACAGCUUACGUGAAAUGAACUUCACUAUGCAUUCUUAGUUUCUUUACAGCCUCCCAUGUAUCAUGUUUUGGCUUAUCGUUGACAUGCUGUUAUGCUUAUAGUUUUCUAAUGAUCCUAUCUAAGACCUAGGCUGGGUUCUCUUGGUUUAUAUAGUUAUUACUUAUGUUGAUGUUACACAUUGGUGUUUAUUAAUUGUCUUAUGUUUGGACCAUGAGUUUGCCAUUCCAUGCUGUUAUAUACUAGUAGUCAUUCAUUUCCCCCUCAGGUCUAAUGCCUGGACGCUGAAUUACUGACUAAUUGCAUAUAAGCUGAUGCCCCGAGAUUACUGAUGCUCUUUGCUACCAUCGUGCUAACUAACUUUGUUUUCUUAUCUGCAGUAUGGGCAGCAAAUGAUGAUGGGACAGACCCGCCCUGUCUAUUAUUAUGCACCUGGAAGCCUCUUUUGAAGUGAAAUGUUGUACACCCCAGCUCUGUUAAGUUGGAGAUGCAAACUGCCCGUUCUAAACUUCUAAUCAUGUCUUCUUAAUCUGUUUUGCAGGAGAUGCAGCAGCAGCAAUACAGAGGAAGGAACUUCUAGGUAGAUUGAUUUUGUUACGCUGCAAUGUGGAACUCUGCAGUGAAAUCCCCAUUGGCGGGGGAUGCUAACCAGGCCGAUGCGCCGCCAUGCGUGAAAAGAACUGGCGAUGGCCUCUGACUUCAACCGUGUGUGUUUUGUCGCCAGGACGAAGAUCACCGCUG
Molecule: long non-coding RNA, 822 nt
Filed under: Triticum aestivum (bread wheat)
Lineage: Eukaryota; Viridiplantae; Streptophyta; Magnoliopsida; Poales; Poaceae
Description: long non-coding RNA (TAES_LNC009583)
Source: RNAcentral